CGGGGUGUGGCGCAGUUUGGUAGCGCACCUGCUUUGGGAGCAGGGGGUCGUGGGUUCGAAUCCCGCCACCCCGACCA
Molecule: transfer RNA, 77 nt
Filed under: Actinomycetales bacterium
Lineage: Bacteria; Bacillati; Actinomycetota; Actinomycetes; Actinomycetales
Description: tRNA-Pro
Rfam family: tRNA
About the family: Transfer RNA (tRNA) molecules are approximately 80 nucleotides in length. Their secondary structure includes four short double-helical elements and three loops (D, anti-codon, and T loops).
Source: RNAcentral